AACAGGAUGUAACUGGAACCAAGGGGCUUUUGAGAACAUCAAGGAGGGUACAGCCCUUAUCCACUGGGACUUCAGGAAGGACAAAACAGGAAACAGAGCAAAUAAGUGAAUGUUUUCUCCGCUUACGGGAACAGAAAUGACAGAUUUGCUUUCCACUUGUCUGCUAAGUGUAACAAUCAAAUAAGUGCUUACAC
This is a long non-coding RNA of Eptesicus fuscus (big brown bat), 194 nucleotides long. RefSeq lists it as uncharacterized. Lineage: Eukaryota; Metazoa; Chordata; Mammalia; Chiroptera; Vespertilionidae. The transcript has 3 exons. The record is from RefSeq and is a predicted model, not a curated record.